This 465-nucleotide ribosomal RNA is filed under the name uncultured bacterium. RNAcentral describes it as "partial 16S ribosomal RNA". It matches the Rfam family "Bacterial small subunit ribosomal RNA", at positions 28 to 507 of the family's 1533-position model. The record is from RNAcentral.
GACGAACGCUGGCGGCGUGCUUAACACAUGCAAGUCGAACGGAAAGGCCCUGCUUGCAGGGUACUCGAGUGGCGAACGGGUGAGUAACACGUGGGUGAUCUGCCCUGCACUUCGGGAUAAGCCUGGGAAACUGGGUCUAAUACCGGAUAGGAGCCAUUUUUAGUGUGAUGGUUGGAAAGUUUUUUCGGUGUAGGAUGAGCUCGCGGCCUAUCAGCUUGUUGGUGGGGUAAUGGCCUACCAAGGCGGCGACGGGUAGCCGGCCUGAGAGGGUGGACGGCCACAUUGGGACUGAGAUACGGCCCAGACUCCUACGGGAGGCAGCAGUAGGGAAUAUUGCACAAUGGGCGCAAGCCUGAUGCGGCGACGCCGCGGGGGGGAUGACGGCCUUCGGGUUGGAAACUCCUUUCGCUAGGGACGAAGCUUUUUGUGACGGUACCUAGAUAAGAAGCACCGGCUAACUACGUG